UUUUGGCUUGUUUCUUGAGCUAGUAGGAGGCUGUGUGCGUUGAUACAAGAAAAACUUUGUUGUGCAGAGGAAGAUCGAGGUAGAAGAACUGCUUGAAAAUGAAACUUCCAACAUUGAAGCAAAAUCAAGCAUGGCAGAAGAGAAACAACGACGCCAGGUUGAAGAUAGCUUGAUGAAAUUGAACGUAGUUGAAGCACCUAGCAUACGCUCGAGAGUUUUGGAUGAGGACUCGUCAACCACCGAAAACAUGAAUGAGUCCAAGCAUGUUUACGACGAUAAAGGCUCUUGCGAGGCAAUGUCUGUUAUUCUAUGCAACACGAAACUCGACUGCGACAUGGCAAAGGAACGCGGAAUUGUCGCAGAAAUUUUAUCUUUCAAACAUUUCGAGGAGGAGCUCAAUUCACUUUUGGCGAGAUCUUCACUAGUUUCUAGACAGUGCCUUCGAGAAACAGACGUUGAUGGUCAACGGUAAUAUACAAGAACUUGAGGAUAAAAAUCACGAGGAACGCGAUUUGUUUCAAAAGUACAUCAGCAACAUGGCAUCGUAAGAAGAUGGUGGACGAGCUUACAGGAAUGGCUUACCAUCCAG
Long non-coding RNA from Xenia sp. Carnegie-2017, 589 nucleotides. RefSeq lists it as uncharacterized. The transcript is spliced from 4 exons. The record is from RefSeq and is a predicted model, not a curated record. Lineage: Eukaryota; Metazoa; Cnidaria; Anthozoa; Malacalcyonacea; Xeniidae.